AACAAUAUUUUAGAUGUGUUACGAGAGAGGAGGGAGAAGUUAUGGCUCGGGAAUACAGUGCAAUUUUCUUUGAAACAAGUUCGAAAGAUGGGAUGAAUAUUGCAGACAGUUUAGUUCUACUAGCCAGGGAAAUGUGUAGCAACGAGGAUGUCGAAGUGCAAACAAGUGCGCUUAAGCUCAGAGAAAUUGAAACCAAGUCUAACUGCUGUGCGCCUAAGCGCAGAAUAUCCGUGCACAGAUAAACUGUGUGCUUGUCAGAAGUUAAUAUUUCUCUUAGAAUCUCUAGUAAAGAAACUGCAGAGGUCAUUGCAAUUUCAAAUGACCUAUCAACGCUGAUUCAACAGUUUAGUCAACAUUUUGACUUUCUAUCAAAACAUUUAAAAUUUAAUCCAAUUUUUUUGCCUUUUCUAUUUUAUACAUUUUUGUAGGCGGAAGGCCAAACAUGAUUAAAUUCAAAUUUCAAAUUGAGGAAACCAACCUUAUCUUGAAAUUCGUAAAUUGGCAAUGUAUGUCCGAUUUACAAUGGUACCCUUUGUCUGAUCAUCGACGACAGAGAUGUCAGUUCACUGUAAAAUUCAAGAUUGUAUAUUUUAUUCAAAAUCGUGUGAUCAAGCAAUCACAUAUUUUUGAAUAAAUUAUAUCAAAAUUUUAAAUUA
Long non-coding RNA from Eurytemora carolleeae, 656 nucleotides. RefSeq lists it as uncharacterized. NCBI's taxonomy places the organism in Eukaryota, Metazoa, Arthropoda, Copepoda, Calanoida, Temoridae. The transcript has 3 exons. The record is from RefSeq and is a predicted model, not a curated record.